This 273-nucleotide ribosomal RNA is filed under the name uncultured bacterium. Its description in RNAcentral is "partial 16S ribosomal RNA". The record is from RNAcentral.
CUGCUGCCUUCCGUAGGAGUCUGGUCCGUGUCUCAGUACCAGUGUGGGGGACCUUCCUCUCAGAACCCCUACGCAUCGUCGCCUCGGUGGGCCGUUACCCCGCCUACUGCCUAAUGCGCCGCAUGCCCAUCCCUGUCCGGCCGAAGCCUUUCCUGCCUCCGGGAUGCCCCGGUGGCAUGUACGCGGGUUUAGCCCGCCUUUCGGCGGGUUGUCCCCCUGACAGGGGCAGGUUGCAUACGUGUUACUCACCCGUGCGCCGGUCGCCGGCGGAAG